Anas platyrhynchos (mallard) is the source of this 315-nucleotide long non-coding RNA. RefSeq lists it as uncharacterized. The record is from RefSeq and is a predicted model, not a curated record. NCBI's taxonomy places the organism in Eukaryota, Metazoa, Chordata, Aves, Anseriformes, Anatidae.
GCCCCAUAAAAGCCGGCGGGGGGGGGGCGGCAGCGGAGCCAUGGACGGGGCCAAGAAGCACUCGGGGCACCCCGAAAAGAAGCACAAGGAUGGGCGCCGCUCUUCCUCCUCCUCCUCCUCCUCCAGCUCCAGCGAUGAGGGCAAGCCCCACGGCGCGGAGCACAAGAAGGACAAGGCGCACAAGAAGCACAAGGAGAAAAAGGAGAAGAAGGGACACUGAGGGGACACCGAGGGGACACGGGGGGGUCACCGCACUGAGAUGCACGGGGGGGGCCCCCCUCCCCCCCCCCCACCCAAUAAAUCGCUGACGCAGGC